RNAcentral lists this ribosomal RNA (253 nucleotides) under uncultured bacterium. RNAcentral describes it as "partial 16S ribosomal RNA". It matches the Rfam family "Bacterial small subunit ribosomal RNA", at positions 524 to 776 of the family's 1533-position model. The record is from RNAcentral.
UACGGGGGGGGCAAGCGUUGUUCGGAAUUACUGGGCGUAAAGGGUUCGUAGGUGGCCCGCUAAGUCAGACGUGAAAUCCCUCAGCUCAACUGGGGAACUGCGUCUGAGACUGGCAGGCUCGAGUGCAGGAGAGGAACGCGGAAUUCCAGGUGUAGCGGUGAAAUGCGUAGAUAUCUGGAGGAACACCGGUGGCGAAGGCGGCUCACUGGCCCGGUACUGACGCUGAGGCACGAAAGCGUGGGGAGCAAACAGG